This 468-nucleotide ribosomal RNA is filed under the name uncultured bacterium. RNAcentral's name for it is "partial 16S ribosomal RNA". It matches the Rfam family "Bacterial small subunit ribosomal RNA", at positions 28 to 507 of the family's 1533-position model. The record is from RNAcentral.
GACGAACGCUGGCGGCGUGCUUAACACAUGCAAGUCGAACGGAAAGGCCCUGCUUUUGUGGGGUGCUCGGGUGGCGAACGGGUGAGUAACACGUGAGUAACCUGCCCUUGACUUUGGGAUAACUUCAGGAAACUGGGGCUAAUACCGGAUAGGAGCUCCUGCUGCAUGGUGGGGGUUGGAAAGUUUCGGCGGUUGGGGAUGGACUCGCGGCUUAUCGGCUUGUUGGUGGGGGAGUGGCUUACCAAGGCGUUGACGGGUAGCCGGCCUGAGAGGGUGAACGGCCACAUUGCGACUGAGAUACGGCCCAGACUCCUACGGGAGGCAGCAGUGGGGAAUAUUGUACAAUGGGCGGAAGUCUGAUGCAGCAACGCCGCGUGCGGGAUGACGGCCUUCUGGUUGUAAACCGCUUUCGCCUGUGACGAAGCGUGAGUGACGGUAAUGGGUAAAGAAGCACCGGCUAACUACGUG